RNAcentral lists this ribosomal RNA (759 nucleotides) under Triticum aestivum (bread wheat). Its description in RNAcentral is "partial small subunit ribosomal RNA". Lineage: Eukaryota; Viridiplantae; Streptophyta; Magnoliopsida; Poales; Poaceae. The record is from RNAcentral.
AUGCACCCGCUACAACCUCCUCAGCAACUUCGACGAUGCCCCUGGCUCCAAGCUGGAGGCCACCACCCCCAUACAUUGGCAGCAGCGGCAACAUUCCAAGACCUAAUGGAGGUGUGGAAGACCAUGGGAAAGUUUGGCGAUCACAUCACCGACGAUCUGAAAAGGUUGAUUGAUCGCCAAGGCAGUGAUCUCCAAGUGAUCUCACUUUGGCCAAGUCCUCAAGCUGAUGUUGUUGGGGAACAUGGGUGCAUGAGUAUUCUGAAGAAGGCGUAUGAUGACCCAGAAAUCUACCAAGAAUUCAAGAACCGUGCCUGGGUAAAGUUGAGUACACAUCAUCCUUUCAACCCGGUAAAGUUUCUCAACGACUUGUUGACUCAGUUUAGUACAUCUCACCAUCACCACCACCAUGAAGACAUAUCCGAGCUCAUGCUGCAAGUCAAUAAGCACAGGUAUCUCAUCGUCCUAGAGGAAGAGUUAUCCAGUGUUGCAGACUGGAAUGCCAUCAGAAAGUGUCUCCCGGAAGGCAAAAAGGGCAGCCGGAUUGUUGUCUCCACCAAGCAUUUGAAAAUUGCAAUUGUCUGCACGCGGGUCCCCUACCAAGUUUCCCAACUUAUACACUUGUCUCAUGACCGAGGUCUUUAUGCCUUUUUCCCAAAGUAUUUAAUCAUGGAAAACAUAUGUCUACUCUAUGAGAGGAACUUUAAGAUAUCAGGUCGCCCUAUUCCAAAUGUUCAUUUUAAUCCAAGAGCUGGUACCUAG